Molecule: long non-coding RNA, 931 nt
Organism: Mesocricetus auratus (golden hamster)
Lineage: Eukaryota; Metazoa; Chordata; Mammalia; Rodentia; Cricetidae
Exons: 2
Source: RefSeq, a predicted model, not a curated record
GAAGGAAAGGAAGAUUACAGAAGAGAAAGAUAAAAGCACAGAGGGAAAAGUGAGUAAAGUACUGAGGACACUCUGCCCGUGAACGAUAAAGUAAUGGAGUCACCAAUGAUUUCAGGUAAAAGCAGCUGUGAAAGUCAUUGUUAGGGACCAGUUGGAAUGAAAACAGGACUCCUUGGAUGUGGAGCAAUUAUGACUGUGGGUAUGAGAUUGCUGACAGGGAACAAGGAAGAUGGAGACACGAGCCACUCAAACAGCCUCUGGAAGGCCCCAUUGCAGCCAGCAUGUGAAAACCACCUUCACCAUCUCCCUUUGGGUUUUCAAGUGUAUAGCAGACAAGGUCAUGCUUGUGUGUGGGUAUGCUUUGGACACAGCUGAGCUGUCAAGCAGGGGCCACAGUCCUUUCAUCUCCUAAACACAAGAGAACACAAUUCAAGUAAAAUGUGUGUGCUUUGGAAGUUCAGAAAAGCAGAAGCCACCUUGUGCUAGAGGUUUCCUACAAAACUCGGGACUUGAAGUGACCCUGAAAGAAUGUAAAAAGAAAACUAGAGACCAUUGGUUGGCCGAAUUCUCCAUGUGCCUGUGUCAUGUGAUGAAAAUUCAGUCCCUUUGUACAUAUGCAUAUAGGGGUUUUUCUGAACCUUCCUGCAGACUUUCAGAGAAUUGAGUCCUUACUCAUAGCAACGGUGGUGUAAUGUGAAAUCUGGGCCUCGGGCUUCCAAGAUUUCCUUUAGGGAUUAUUCUUCUAUAUGGUAGCUCUGUGUGGAAUAUUUCCACAGGAGUCCCUGAUGGACCUUACUCUCUGAGAUCAAAUGCUGUGUGUUAUCACUUACAUCCAACAGAGACUGCUGUUAAAUGAGCAUCCUGAUGUACGAGGAACUAUCCCUUAAAGAACCAGUAAAGCAACCAUGCAGAAAUAAACAAGUUCAUGACA